This 253-nucleotide ribosomal RNA is filed under the name uncultured bacterium. RNAcentral's name for it is "partial 16S ribosomal RNA". It matches the Rfam family "Bacterial small subunit ribosomal RNA", at positions 524 to 776 of the family's 1533-position model. The record is from RNAcentral.
UACGGAGGGAGCUAGCGUUGUUCGGAAUUACUGGGCGUAAAGCGCACGUAGGCGGCUUUGUAAGUUAGAGGUGAAAGCCCGGGGCUCAACUCCGGAACUGCCUUUAAGACUGCAUCGCUUGAAUCCGGGAGAGGUGAGUGGAAUUCCGAGUGUAGAGGUGAAAUUCGUAGAUAUUGGGAAGAACACCAAUGGCGAAGGCAGCCAUCUGGACCGACACUGACGCUGAGGCGCGAAAGCGUGGGGAGCAAACAGG